Molecule: ribosomal RNA, 301 nt
Filed under: uncultured bacterium
Lineage: Bacteria
Description: partial 16S ribosomal RNA
Rfam family: Bacterial small subunit ribosomal RNA
Source: RNAcentral
CAGUCGCCGCGGUAAUACGUAGGGCGCAAGCGUUGUCCGGAAUUAUUGGGCGUAAAGCGUGCGUAGGCGGCUUCUUAAGUCGGAUGUGAAAUCCCUGAGCUUAACUUAGGAAUUGCAUUCGAUACUGGGAAGCUAGAGUAUGGGAGAGGAUGGUAGAAUUCCAGGUGUAGCGGUGAAAUGCGUAGAGAUCUGGAGGAAUACCGAUGGCGAAGGCAGCCAUCUGGCCUAAUACUGACGCUGAGGUACGAAAGCAUGGGGAGCAAACAGGAUUAGAUACCCCCGUAGUCCCUGUCUCUUAUAA